Molecule: long non-coding RNA, 2796 nt
Organism: Anas platyrhynchos (mallard)
Lineage: Eukaryota; Metazoa; Chordata; Aves; Anseriformes; Anatidae
Source: RefSeq, a predicted model, not a curated record
UCUGCUCCGUCUCUGCCGCUGGUACCUCAGUGAAAACUCAGCGGUCCUGUGUUGCAGCGAGCAGAACAGGAAUGCCUGGAAGGAGCACAGCCGGUGCCUGUGGACUGAGGACCAGCGGACGGCCAGAGUGUGGUGUGGGACACGGGGAUACCUUCAACACCGUCUGCAGCUACAGCUUUAGGAGACAUCUCUCAGCUGUUGUGACACCGGGGUAAUUUCGCAAGCGGUGGAGUAGACACGGGUUGUGGCGGUGUGCUGACGAGGAAUUCACAAAAGUCUGGGAGAAAGUUCUUACGUGGCCACUUCAUCCUGGAGUAAGUGACUGCCAUCAGCAAAUGGGAAAUCCCAUCCCGCUCUCUUCUUGCCCCAGCUCUUUGUUGUUGCCACCUCCCUUGCUCAAGCGUUACUCUUCAUGGCAAUGACCUGGAUCACAAAAGGCAUCCAGCUAAAAACUAGGCAGGUUAAAAAAUAAAAUAAAAUAGAAUCACAAGCUUGGAUGCAGGCCAAGCUGAAGUGCCUCUGCAGCUUGCAGCUUGUAAGAGUAAAAGUCAGAACAGGGCUAUUAAAACUUGCCCAUAAAGAUCUAGGAGGGAGCCAUGCAUUAGGAAUGAAUCACGGGAAGUUCAAAAGCCGACUUCUUUCCCCAAAAGGAUCUGCUCCCAGAGCCGGUGACUUUGCCAGGCCAAACGUCUGAAGGGUGCAGCCGCUCACCGGUGCAGCUUCCUCGAUGUGGGAGCUGCUCCCUGCCGCGGUGCAUUAGCAUUUUUUUCCAUGGGCACAGGCUAGGAGAGACAGGUUUCUUCACAUUCUCCCGUAUCUGCCUGAGAACAGCCUUCAGGAGGAACGCUGAGACACCACAGACUUCAUAUGUAACAGCUUUGGUGUGGGAACCGUGAUCAACUGCUCUGUAAGGUUUUGGCUGGCUGCCCAGCCUGCCGGUGUUUGAGUUCUUGGGAUGUCCUUGCACAGGAGUUGGAGGCGAUUUAUAGCUCGUGUGUUGGGAAACAGCUCUCGUGUCAAUCGUUUUUCCGAGAUAAGUGGCGAACGUGGAGUCUUCUGGGACUUUUGGGUAGAAAGACUUCAGAUUUUUGUUUUCUUUUGAAGAAACCGAGGCAGCGCUCCCAGUCCUUCUAUCCCAAGUAGGAGGCAUUUGUGUGUUGGAAGAGUUUUGUUUCUGACAAUCUGCAUAAGAGAAACAAAAGAAUUAGCCUGAACCCCCACCUCCUCCCAGACAGCCCUGCCUGAGCGCAUUUUCGGGCUGCUUCUGCUCCGAAAAGAUUUACGGCUGAGCUUUUCAGCUGUGCCGCGAGGCCGAGGUGCUGGCUCCCAAAAACGCCGCUUCCAGGUGCCGAAUGCAGGCCCCGGUGCCUGGUGGCGAGGACCCCGAGCCGAGGAGAGUGGUGGCCGUUGUUUAGUGUUGAUGUGUCCUCUCACACGAUCGCCAAGUUCCAGCACAGUGGUGGUGAAGCCAGUCCUGCAUCGAUGCUGGGAUUUCUAAACUUUUGUAAGAUAAGUUUAACCCUUGCUCUCCACUGGAGGUAGUGGCACGCGUGCCCCUAAAUCUCUGUAACUGCUUUACAAAUUCCAGUGCCACAAGAAGCUAAAACCCAGGCUCAGGCGUGCCUGGAGGCGGGCACACAUGGAGGCACCGUCUUCUUUUGGGUGCUGGCAGCAGAACAAGCCUGGCAUCUCGGUUAUCUGUGCUACAGAAAGUGACCUGAGCCUGCCUCAAUUCCUGGGGAUCCUCACAGUUGAGAGUUUUCCCUUCCAGAACUGGGCCAUGCCCUUCAACUCCAAGCUGACCUCUACAUCACAAUCGCUGUUCCAGCUCUUCUUUCGGACUCCCCUCUGGACGUGAUGGGAGCAGAAUGGCACACCGGUGAACGAGAGGAGUGCUGCAGAGGAAUUUCAGCGCUGUGGUAUUUGAAGAUAAAGUGAGCAAAAGAAAUGCAAAGGGCUUUCUGUGCCCCGCCAGACAGGGGUCUGGCUGGCUGAAGGGAGCCAAAGGCACGCGCAGACUUGCUGCUUUUGCAAUGCACAUAAUUUCUCAGUUUUCAUGGAUUUCCAGUGCUAUGGCAAAUGUUCCACAUUUUUAGCAAAUUCUGGAUAUGGCAAAUAAGUAACUUGUGAUUUAAAUGAAUCAAAAUUAAUUGAAGGCAUAUUUCCCCAAACUGUUCAGAGAUUCUUGAGAAGUCUAAUUAUAUCAGCCAGACCGCACCUCCGCGAGCCAAAUAUCCUUUAUCCUAAAUACAGCUAGGAAGAGGUUAGGCAUGUGACACAGCUCUUGCUAUUCAGAAGCUUUUGUUUCUUGCAGACUUUGUAAAUUGUUCUUCUGACUGCCUCUAUGGAUUUCACCACAGCUUGUCCAGCUGAGCAGGUUAGGGAGAUGCUAAGAAGGUGCUAAGGGAGGCAAAAGCUUAUAUUGUAAGGCAAAAUACAUCAUAUUAACAAAAAAUAAUGUUAAGUAUUAUGCAUAAAUAUUUAACUUAUAUGUUUUCAAUAGGUCAUCAUUUACAUGACUGGGUAUAAAACAACUGAAAAAAACCUGGGGCAUAUGAGAUGGAAUUUAAUAUUCCUCUAAAAAUGUAAGCGGCAAAAUUUAUCAUAAAUGGCUAUUGUUAUGUAAAUGGACCAAGCUUCUUUUGCUGUUCUGUGGUUGGGUUGUUUUUAAUCCUUGGAGAUACAAUAUAUGCACACACACCAUGGUUGGUUAUCAACGUAGAUUUCAUUUCCUUGUGUUUGCCUGCUUAGUGCAGACUCAUUACUGACCAGUAAAGUCCUUUGUUGACACAAAAA